GAUGAACGCUGGCGGCAUGCCUAACACAUGCAAGUCGAACGGGAAGUGGUGUUUCCAGUGUCGGACGGGUGAGUAACGCGUAAGAACCUGCCCUUGGGAGGGGAACAACAACUGGAAACGGUUGCUAAUACCCCGUAGGCAGAGGAGCAAAAGGAGAAAUCCGCCCAAGGAGGGGCUAGCGUCUGAUUAGCUAGUUGGUGAGGCAAUAGCUGACCAAGGCGAUUAUCAGUAGAUGGUCCGAGAGGAUGAUCAGCCACACUGGGACUGAGAGACGGACCAGACUCCUACGCGCGGCGGGAGUGGGGAAGAUGCCGCAAUGGGGGAAAGCUUGAGGGGGCAAUGCCGCGUGGAAGUGGAGUGGCUACGGAUCGUCGACUUCUUUUCUCGGAGAAGAAAUAAUGACGGUAUCUGAGGAAUAAGCAUCGGCUAACUCUGUG
Molecule: ribosomal RNA, 437 nt
Filed under: uncultured bacterium
Lineage: Bacteria
Description: partial 16S ribosomal RNA
Rfam family: Bacterial small subunit ribosomal RNA
Source: RNAcentral